CGGGCAAUAGCUCACUGGUAGAGUUCCCGCUUCGUAUGCAGGGAGACCUGGGUUCGAUUCCCGGCUGCUUCC
RNAcentral lists this transfer RNA (72 nucleotides) under Toxocara canis (dog roundworm). It matches the Rfam family "tRNA". From Rfam's summary of the family: Transfer RNA (tRNA) molecules are approximately 80 nucleotides in length. Their secondary structure includes four short double-helical elements and three loops (D, anti-codon, and T loops). Further hydrogen bonds mediate the characteristic L-shaped molecular structure. tRNAs have two regions of fundamental functional importance: the anti-codon, which is responsible for specific mRNA codon recognition, and the 3' end, to which the tRNAs corresponding amino acid is attached (by aminoacyl-tRNA synthetases). tRNAs cope with the degeneracy of the genetic code in two manners: having more than one tRNA (with a specific anti-codon) for a particular amino acid; and 'wobble' base-pairing, i.e. permitting non-standard base-pairing at the 3rd anti-codon position. The record is from Rfam by way of RNAcentral. Lineage: Eukaryota; Metazoa; Nematoda; Chromadorea; Rhabditida; Toxocaridae.